GGAGUCCUCAGCACAGGCAGGGACCUGUUGGAGCAUGGCCAGAGGAGGCCACAGCAAUGCUGGCAGGGCUGGAAGGGCUCUGCUGGGAGGCCAGGCUGAGUUGGGCUUGCUCAGCCUGGAGAAGAGAAAGCUGCAGGGAGAACUUGGAGCAGCCUGCCAGUGUUUGAAGUGGCCUACUGGAGAGCUGGGGAGGGACUCUUUACAAAGGCAGGGAGUGACAGGACAAGAAGUGAUGGCUUCAGACUGCAAGAAUCUGGAUUUAGGUAAGACAUUAGGAAGAAAUUCCUCCCUGUGAGGGUGGCAAGGCACUGGAACAGCCUGCCCAGAGGCUGUUUUGGAGGCUCCAAGCCUGGAUGUGUUCAAAGCCAGGUUAAAUGGGACCUUGAGCAACCUGGCCUAGUAGAAGGUGUCCCUACCUAUGGCAGAGGAUUUGAACUGGAUGAACUUUGAGGUCCCUUCCACCCCAAACCAUUUUGUCUUUCUAUGAAACCAGGACAGGGUGGGAGUUCUUCACAAAGCCAGCGUGCAAACAUCACAGACAAGCUGAGCCACCAGCUUCCACGAGUUAAAACAUGAACAAAUGGCUCCAUCACCUCCUUCCCCAGGGCUUUGCUACCCUUCUGCUGGCUGGUCAUGGAUCCAGGCACUUGGCCUUGGCAUGCUGUUGCAGAAGGAAGUGGAUUGGGAGGUCCUGCAGGCAUCUAGGAGCACUAGGAGAGGACAGCUGGUGGUGGCAUCUGUUUUGGGUGCCCCCAGUGUCUGUCUUUGCUCUGGUGAGACCUCACUUGCAGUACUGUGUCCAGCUCUAGAGCCCUCAAUAUAGGAAGGACAUGGACCUGAUGGAGCAGGUCCAGAUGAGGGCCACAGAAAUGAUCCGGGGAUUGAAGCAGCUCUGCUACAAGGACAGGCUGAGGGAGCUGGGGGUGUUCAGCCUGGAGUUAAGGAGGCUCCAUGGAGAACCUAACAGCAGCCUGCCAGUACCUGAAGGAGGCUACAAGAAGGCUGGAGAGAGACUGGUUACAAAAGCCUGCAGGAACAGGAUGAGGGCAGUGGCUUCAAACUAGAGAAGAGCAGAUUUAGAUUGGAUGUUAGGAACAGCUUCUGCACCAUGAAGGUGGUGGAACACUGGAACAGGUUGCCCAGGGAAGUGGUUGUGGUCCCAUCCCUGAAGCCAAGGUGAGUCUGGACAGGGCUGUGGGCAACCUGAUGUCAUUGAGGAUGUCCCUGCUGACUGCAAGAGGGUUGGGCUGGAUGACCUUUGGAGUUCCUUUCCAGCCCAGACUAUUCUGUGAGUCUCUGAAACACCCCUGGCUGGAAGGAUUGAGGCUGCCAGGUCUCCUCCCUGUUCUGAGCUCAAGCUGGAGGGGCAAAGACAAGUGUGUGCAGCUGUCCAGGCUUGAGGAGCAAUCUGAAACAUAAAGAACAGCCUCAUUCAUGGAGAGCUGAGGUGAAGGCACUGGCACAGGCUGCCCAGGGAGGUGGAGUCCCCAUCCCUGGAGAUGAUCAAGAACUAUGUGGCUGUGGCACAGUGGGACAUGGUUCGAUGGCCAUGGUGGUGGUGUGUUGAUGGUUGGAGUGGAUGAUCUUAGAGGUCUCUUCCAACCCAAACAAUUCUGUGAUAAAGGUGAGGGUGCCUUAAUUGCUGAUGUGGCCCCAGAGAUGGCAAAUGAUGUCCUCUCACUCAUGAGCUAUCUCAGGAGAGCGUCAGGAGGACUGGACUCUGCACAGUGAGCUUAUAGUGCCACCAGUGGUGAAGAUCUCCUGGCUGCAGUGGAAGGGUGGUGCUGGGACUCAGAUCUUAUAGACCUGCUGCUAAGACUCGCACUCUGCUGGGCACUGGUGAGGACACAGCUUGAGUACUGGGCUCAGAUUUGGUCCCCUCACUCCGAGAAGGACAUUGAGGGGCUGGAGCAGGUCCAGAGGAAGGUAAUGAAGCUGCUGAAGGGCCUGGAGAACAGCGCUGAGGAGGAGCAGCUGAGGGAACUGGGGGUGUUUAGUCUGGAGAAGAGGCUGAGGGGAGACCUCAUUGCUCUCUACAGCUCCCUGAAAGGAGGUUGGAGCCAGGUAGGGGUUGGGCUCUUCUCCCUGGUAUCAUCUGAUACAAAGAGGAAAUCAUAGAAUCAAGCAGGUUGGAAGAGACCUCCAAGCUCAGCCAGUCCAACCUAGCACCCAGCCCUGCCCAAUCAACCAGACCAUGGCACCAAGUGCCCCAGCCAGGCUUGGCUUCAACACCUCCAGGGGCAACAACUCCACCACCUCCCUGGGCAGCCCAAUGGCCUCAAGUUGCCCCAGGGGAGUUUUAGGUUGGAGAAGAGGAGCAACUUCUUCCACAAAAGGGUUAUCAAGGCCUGCAGAGAGCUGCCCAGGGCAGUGGUGGAGUCUCCAUUGCUGGAGGGGUUUCAAGGCUGUGCAGAUGCAGUGCUGAGGGCCAUGGUUUAGGGGUGACCUGGCAGUGCUGGGUUCAUGGCUGGAUUGGAUGGCCCAAAAGGUCUCUUCCAACCCAAACCACUCAGAUUCUAUGAAAGGAGAGAUCUCAUCAGACCCUCUGCUCUUGGGCUGCAUCUCAGGGGCGCUGGACACAGCCUCACAUGAGCUGAUCUCAGAAGGUCCAAGAUGUGUAUUCACAUGGAACAAGGUGGGGAGCUGAAGAGAAGCUGGGCAGGGCCAGUGAAGCCCCAGCCCACUGGCAUUUUUUGGGGUGGUCUCCCCACACCUAACAGAGCUGGUGUAACCUGCAAGCAGCCAGGAGGUGCUGUGUGCCCAGGGGAGGUGGAUGAGCACCAGCAGUGUGUUUCCACGCUCCUGCGGUAUCCACGUCCACGUGGAACGACGCCCAGCCAGGAGCAUUCCUCCUGAGCUGGGAACCCACAUUUCAACUCAACUUGUAAGAGUAGACUGUAGAUAAAGCAUUACAGAUUCUAGAUGUCCUAAGAGGUCCUCCUACGAGGUCUUGAGGUUCUCCUUGCUGUACAUUCAGAUAUUUAUACACUUUUGUAGAGUUAAAAUAAACUGGUUUAGUUUUC
Molecule: long non-coding RNA, 3023 nt
Organism: Pogoniulus pusillus (Red-fronted tinkerbird)
Lineage: Eukaryota; Metazoa; Chordata; Aves; Piciformes; Lybiidae
Exons: 2
Source: RefSeq, a predicted model, not a curated record